This 1053-nucleotide long non-coding RNA is filed under the name Populus trichocarpa (black cottonwood). Its description in RNAcentral is "long non-coding RNA (PTRI_LNC004395)". The record is from RNAcentral. Lineage: Eukaryota; Viridiplantae; Streptophyta; Magnoliopsida; Malpighiales; Salicaceae.
AUCCAGUUAGAGAUGGAAAAAUGCUAUCGUUGAAUUGAUUCUCCCAUAGAUGAAGGUUCUCCAGCUUUUUCAACCUUGAUGACAAGACUUUGAAACCUGCAUGAUGUUCCUCAAUAGCAUAUUGGAAGGAAAUAAUUAAAUGCGUAGAAAAAAAUGAUAUGAGAAGGAGAAAAGAAAAGGUUUCGAAGCUAAAUAAUUAAAAGGUUAACAUAGAAGCUACCUCCUGAUCCAGCUGUCAACCCAUCGGUAAUUAAAACAAGAAUAAUAAUCGUUAAAUAUCAUUCUAAUAAUAAUAAUCGUUAAAUAUCAUUCUAAUAAUAAUAAUCUGUAAGUUGAAAUCCGUUCGUAACUUAAUUCCUCUAUCUAUUUAGUUAGUAAGAUUAGUUGUCACUAAUUUAGUAAUUAUAAUUUGUUCCUAACUUAAUUCCUCUGUUUUCUAGCAAGUACUUUCCCUAUUUUAUCCAUAGCAUUAAAGAAUUAUAAACUUUUUCACGUUUUAUUUCUCAAAGUCCAAAUAUUUCACCAUAAAAUCACCCAUCACCAUUCACCACAGAAUAGGAGAGUUUUGAAGUGAACUUCUGAUUGCUAAUUUAAUCUAAAUAUUACAACACUUUUGGCAUAAAAGGGCCAAAAUAAGAAUAAAAUAUAUGCCUCUUGAACCUAAUUCCAAGUGCCUCUUUAGGUAGAUAUAAAGUCGUCCUCAUUUUUGUUGAUAAAGAAACAAUAUAAUUAAGAGAAUGUCAUGUGAAGCAUUUAGGUAGGUAGAAACUGUAUAUUAUACCUGAUCCUGUCAGCUGAUUGAACGAUAGAUCCAAAGACUUGAGGGAUGAAAAUCCAGUUAGAGAUGGACAAAUGCUAUCGUUGAAUUGAUUCCCCCAUAGAUGAAGGUUCUCCAGCUUUUUCAACCUUGAUGACAAGACUUUGAAACCUGCAUGAUGUUUCUCAAUAGCAUAUUGGAAGGAAAUAAACGCAUAGAAAAAACAUGAUAUGAGAAGGAGAAAAGAAAAGGUUUCAAAGCUAAAUAAAUAACUAAAAGGUUACCAUAGAAGCUAC